UACGGAGGAUGCGAGCGUUAUCCGGAUUUAUUGGGUUUAAAGGGUGCGCAGGCGGAUUUUUAAGUCAGCGGUCAAAUCGUGGGGCUCAACCCCAUCCAGCCGUUGAAACUGGGGAUCUAGAGUGUGCGAGAGGUAUGCGGAAUGCGUGGUGUAGCGGUGAAAUGCAUAGAUAUCACGCAGAACCCCGAUUGCGAAGGCAGCAUACCGGCGCCCGACUGACGCUGAGGCACGAAAGCGUGGGUAUCGAACAGG
RNAcentral lists this ribosomal RNA (252 nucleotides) under uncultured bacterium. RNAcentral's name for it is "partial 16S ribosomal RNA". It matches the Rfam family "Bacterial small subunit ribosomal RNA", at positions 524 to 776 of the family's 1533-position model. The record is from RNAcentral.